Long non-coding RNA from Lontra canadensis (Northern American river otter), 111 nucleotides. RefSeq lists it as uncharacterized. The record is from RefSeq and is a predicted model, not a curated record. The transcript is spliced from 2 exons. Lineage: Eukaryota; Metazoa; Chordata; Mammalia; Carnivora; Mustelidae.
CCUUCUCCGACCCACCGUAAUAUCCCCAGGAUACGGGCUCAGGAAGAGGAGGGCUAGUUUGGUUUAGAAAUAUCACAAAGAAAAGAACACAUAUAUUACCACAACCCAGAG